ACGGGUGAGUAAUGUCUGGGAAACUGCCCGAUGGAGGGGGAUAACUACUGGAAACGGUAGCUAAUACCGCAUAACGUCUUCGGACCAAAGUGGGGGACCUUCGGGCCUCACACCAUCGGAUGUGCCCAGAUGGGAUUAGCUAGUAGGUGGGGUAACGGCUCACCUAGGCGACGAUCCCUAGCUGGUCUGAGAGGAUGACCAGCCACACUGGAACUGAGACACGGUCCAGACUCCUACGGGAGGCAGCAGUGGGGAAUAUUGCACAAUGGGCGCAAGCCUGAUGCAGCCAUGCCGCGUGUAUGAAGAGGGCCUUCGGGUUGUAAAGUACUUUCAGCGGGGAGGAAGGCGAUGCGGUUAAUAACCGCGUCGAUUGACGUUACCCGCAGAAGAAGCACCGGCUAACUCCGUGCCAGCAGCCGCGGUAAUACGGAGGGUGCAAGCGUUAAUCGGAAUUACUGGGCGUAAAGCGCACGCAGGCGGUCUGUCAAGUCGGAUGUGAAGUCCCCGGGCUUAACCUGGGAACUGCAUUCGAAACUGGCAGGCUUGAGUCUCGUAGAGGGGGGUAGAAUUCCAGGUGUAGCGGUGA
This 586-nucleotide ribosomal RNA is filed under the name uncultured bacterium. RNAcentral describes it as "bacterial SSU rRNA". It matches the Rfam family "Bacterial small subunit ribosomal RNA", at positions 102 to 684 of the family's 1533-position model. The record is from RNAcentral.